GUUAUACUUGGAGGCCAUGUCACCUGAGAGUCAAUGGGCAACGAUCAAAUUUCACCUUGAGCAGAUUCUUUUGUUUGCUUUUUAGUCACAAAUAGCUUGGCCCUAAGUGGUGGCUCCCAUUCUUGUAAGAUGCGUUUAUUCAUCGUGUAAUCACCAGUUCCCUGUAGUGGGGGCGUGGAUGGAGUGUCAGAGGCUCCUGCUGGUCUUUAGGGUGUCUGGCCUCCAGGAAUCCUAGAGGUAGUAUUUGGAGAGAUUUUUAAAAGCUUUGUUUCUGUGACCAGCAAAACCUGGAUUUGACACUGAGGUCAGCCCGUUUCAGCCAGUGACGUAACCUGUCUUUUUGCCCCAGUAAAUUGGGAACUACAGCACUCGAUGUUAGAGUUGUCGUGAAGAUUAAAGAAGGUGACGACUGGACAACUCCCAGCCCAAUACCUGAAACUGUACCAGCACCCAGUGAGCACUGCUAUUCCUGUGACUGCUGCACAUUUGCCUUAUCUCAGCAGUAUGCCUGUGUCACUUUUUUGGCACUCUUUUCUCAUGGGUACAUUCAGAGAAGAGGAAUGUUUGUUCACUGGUGAAGAGAACAUCCCGUGUACUAUCGUGUAGAAGUUGUAGUAGACGCUGUGGUCUUUCCAACAACAAACAAAAAAAAGGAAAAAAAAAGUGAAUUUCUUGCCCAGAUCUGCAACAACUUCUAAGAUCUGACCUGUAGCCACCCACACCUGGAAGCUCCAGCCUUGCCUCUCCCCAGUUCACCCAGUAAGCGCUGGACACGGGGCUGAGCUGGGACUUCGAUGCUUACUCUGCCUGGAAACCUCCUUUCUCUCUCCCCACUUCUGAGGCUCCGCUCAGGUGCUGUUUUACCUGAAACCCUCCAGGCUGUUCUCUCUGGAAAUGCCUCUCUCUUCUGCCCUUUAUCUUCCACCUGAAUGGGAGGAUGUCUCAUUCCUAACACUCAGGACAGGUCUUCAUAGCGUUUAUCCUGCUUUGUCAUCUGCAUGCCCCACAGGGCUGAGAGCUCCAAGGAGCUGUGAAUCACACCUCCGACUCCCCCCAGGGUACAGGAACGGGGUUCAGAAUGCUCUUCCCAAAGGUGAGAUACAACAUGAAGAGUGGUUAUUUCUGGGUUAUGGGAUGAAGAGUAAUUUUUUUGUUUUCUUUAUUAGACGUUACUAAAUGAACCUGCUUGGUGUUAACCACAUGUGGCUUUUAUAAUCAGAGAAAUAAAACAAAACUGACAGUAAAAAUACAUAGAAGAAGGAUUAUGUAAAAUUUAUAAUUAAAAAUUUGUUGAUUUUAAA
Molecule: long non-coding RNA, 1301 nt
Organism: Homo sapiens (human)
Lineage: Eukaryota; Metazoa; Chordata; Mammalia; Primates; Hominidae
Product: long intergenic non-protein coding RNA 2669
Source: Ensembl